This 640-nucleotide ribosomal RNA is filed under the name bacterium w1cc1. RNAcentral's name for it is "bacterial SSU rRNA". It matches the Rfam family "Bacterial small subunit ribosomal RNA", at positions 36 to 724 of the family's 1533-position model. The record is from RNAcentral.
CUGGCGGCAGGCCUAACACAUGCAAGUCGAGCGCACCUUCGGGUGAGCGGCGGACGGGUUAGUAACGCGUGGGAACGUGCCCUUCUCUACGGAAUAGCCAUUGGAAACGAUGAGUAAUACCGUAUACGCCCUUCGGGGGAAAGAUUUAUCGGAGAAGGAUCGGCCCGCGUUAGAUUAGAUAGUUGGUGGGGUAACGGCCUACCAAGUCUACGAUCUAUAGCUGGUUUUAGAGGAUGAUCAGCAACACUGGGACUGAGACACGGCCCAGACUCCUACGGGAGGCAGCAGUGGGGAAUCUUAGACAAUGGGCGCAAGCCUGAUCUAGCCAUGCCGCGUGUGUGAUGAAGGCCCUAGGGUCGUAAAGCACUUUCGCCAGGGAUGAUAAUGACAGUACCUGGUAAAGAAACCCCGGCUAACUCCGUGCCAGCAGCCGCGGUAAUACGGAGGGGGUUAGCGUUGUUCGGAAUUACUGGGCGUAAAGCGCACGUAGGCGGAUCAGAAAGUAGGGGGUGAAAUCCCGAGGCUCAACCUCGGAACUGCCUCCUAAACUCCUGGUCUUGAGUUCGAGAGAGGUGAGUGGAAUUCCAAGUGUAGAGGUGAAAUUCGUAGAUAUUUGGAGGAACACCAGUGGCGAAGGCGG